Long non-coding RNA from Apus apus (common swift), 226 nucleotides. RefSeq lists it as uncharacterized. The transcript is spliced from 3 exons. NCBI's taxonomy places the organism in Eukaryota, Metazoa, Chordata, Aves, Apodiformes, Apodidae. The record is from RefSeq and is a predicted model, not a curated record.
UUUCCACUAGCUCUACAAAAGCCAAUAGCAGGCAGAGGAAGAAAGAUGAAUUUUGGACAAAAUACCUCAAGGUUUCUACUCCAGUGUGUAAAAAACCCACCACCACUCAUACCUGGGUGAAAAUGUAACAGCCUCAGAGAUAAAGUGAGCCAACACAAGCCCUGCCUAUAUCCUGGCAUAUACUGACGUAAGGUAGGUAAAUCUCACAGUUUGAUCUGAACGACAU